AUUCAAUGAUGUGGGCAUUUUCUUUGUAAUUCCUUAAAUCGUUCCCAUGCAUCAUACAAAGACUCCCCAUCCAAUUGAUGGAAAUUGUUAAUCUCUCCUCUUAUUCU
Molecule: small nucleolar RNA, 107 nt
Organism: Humulus lupulus (European hop)
Lineage: Eukaryota; Viridiplantae; Streptophyta; Magnoliopsida; Rosales; Cannabaceae
Source: RefSeq, a predicted model, not a curated record